CUCAUACUGUGAAACUGCGGACGGCUCAGUAAAUCAGUCAUCGUUUAUUUGAUAGUACCUUACUACAUGGAUAACCGUGGUAAUUCUAGAGCUAAUACAUGCUAAAGGCCCCGACUUCGGGAGGGGUGUGUUUAUUAGAUAAAAGACCAAUGCCCUCCGGGGCUCCUUGGUGAUUCACAAUAACUUAACGGAUCGCAUGGCCUUGUGCCGGCGAUGGUUCAUUCAAAUCUCUGCCCUAUCAACUUUCGACGGUAGGAUAGGGGCCUACCGUGGUAUCAACGGGUAACGGGGAAUUAGGGUUCGAUUCCGGAGAGUUAGCCUGAGAGAUCGCUAACACAUCCAAGGAAGGCAGCAGGCGCGCAAAUUACCCAAUCCCGACACGGGGAGGUAGUGACAAUACAUACUGAUACAGGGCUCUUUUGGGUCUUGUAAUUGGAAUGAGUACAAUUUAAACCCCUUAACGAGGAACAAUUGGAGGGCAAGUCUGGUGCCAGCAGCCGCGGUAAUUCCAGCUCCAAUAGCGUAUAUUAAAGUUGUUGCAGUUAAAACGUUCGUAGUUGAACCUUGGGCCUGGCUGGCCGGUCCGCCUCACCGCGUGCACUGGUUCGGCCGGGCCUUUCCUCCUGGGGAACCCCAUGCCCUUCACUGGGCGUGUGGGGGAGCCAGGACUUUUACCUUGAAAAAAUUAGAGUGUUCAAAGCAGGCCUUCGCUCGAAUACAUUAGCAUGGAAUAAUGGAAUAGGACGGCGGUCCUAUUUUGUUGGUUUCUAGAACCGCCGUAAUGAUUAAUAGGGACAGUCGGGGGCGUCCGUAUUCAAUUGUCAGAGGUGAAAUUCUUGGAUUCAUUGAAGACGAACUACUGCGAAAGCAUUCGCCAAGGAUGUUUUCAUUAAUCAGAUCG
Molecule: ribosomal RNA, 901 nt
Filed under: Kirschsteiniothelia thujina
Lineage: Eukaryota; Fungi; Ascomycota; Dothideomycetes; Kirschsteiniotheliales; Kirschsteiniotheliaceae
Description: SSU rRNA
Rfam family: Eukaryotic small subunit ribosomal RNA
Source: RNAcentral